RNAcentral lists this ribosomal RNA (492 nucleotides) under uncultured bacterium. RNAcentral describes it as "partial 16S ribosomal RNA". It matches the Rfam family "Bacterial small subunit ribosomal RNA", at positions 29 to 507 of the family's 1533-position model. The record is from RNAcentral.
AGUGAACGCUGGCGGUAGGCCUAACACAUGCAAGUCGAACGGCAGCACAGUAAGAGCUUGCUCUUACGGGUGGCGAGUGGCGGACGGGUGAGGAAUACAUCGGAAUCUACUUUUUCGUGGGGGAUAACGUAGGGAAACUUACGCUAAUACCGCAUACGACCUACGGGUGAAAGCAGGGGAUCUUCUGACCUUGCGCGAUUGAAUGAGCCGAUGUCGGAUUAGCUAGUUGGCGGGGUAAAGGCCCACCAAGGCGACGAUCCGUAGCUGGUCUGAGAGGAUGAUCAGCCACACUGGAACUGAGACACGGUCCAGACUCCUACGGGAGGCAGCAGUGGGGAAUAUUGGACAAUGGGCGCAAGCCUGAUACAGCCAUACCGCGUGGGUGAAGAAGGCCUUCGGGUUGUAAAGCCCUUUUGUUGGGAAAGAAAAGCAGCAGGUUAAUACCCCGCUGUUCUGACGGUACCCAAAGAAUAAGCACCGGCUAACUUCGUG